AAACCCUCACCCUUGCGAUGUAACAGUCGCCCGUGGUGGACUUGGACUGUGCCGUAACCGGCUCGUCUUGAAAUGCAUUAGCUGGCGCUUUUAGAGUGCUGGGCGACGGUGUGAUAAUUAUCUGCGCCAAUGCCUUAGGCCUCUUCAGCGGUGCUGCUUACAGCCGUCCCUCUGUGGACACAUUAUUUUUAAAG
This 194-nucleotide unclassified non-coding RNA is filed under the name uncultured Auricularia. RNAcentral's name for it is "sequence contains ITS2". Lineage: Eukaryota; Fungi; Basidiomycota; Agaricomycetes; Auriculariales; Auriculariaceae. The record is from RNAcentral.